This 516-nucleotide ribosomal RNA is filed under the name Deraeocoris brevis. Its description in RNAcentral is "partial 16S ribosomal RNA". It matches the Rfam family "Bacterial large subunit ribosomal RNA", at positions 1830 to 2600 of the family's 2925-position model. The record is from RNAcentral. Lineage: Eukaryota; Metazoa; Arthropoda; Insecta; Hemiptera; Miridae.
GUUCUUUUGUUUAUAUAAAAGAUUUGACCUGCCCAAUGAUUAAUAAUUAAAUGGCUGCAGUAUUUUGACUGUACAAAGGUAGCAUAAUCAUUUGUCUUUUAAUUGAAGUCUAGAAUGAAUGGUUGGAUGAGGGAUUAACUUUCUUUAUUUUAAGUGAAUGAAUUUAAUUUUUAUGUCAAAAAUCGUGGAUAUGAUUAUAGGACGAGAAGACCCUAUAGAACUUUAUUAUUUAAUUUAUAAUUUUUGAAUGGUAAUUUUAUGGUUUAUUUUUAUAAAUUAAAUAAUUUUAUUGGGGUGAUAAAAAAAAUUAUAUAACUUUUUUUCUUUAUUUACAUUUAUAUAUGUUUAUAUGAUCCUUUUUUAUGGAAUUAAGACUAAGUUACCUUAGGGAUAACAGCGUUAUUUUAUCAUAGAGUUCAUAUCGAUGAUAGAGUUUGCGACCUCGAUGUUGGAUUAAAAUAAGAGGCAGGGGUAGUUUUUUGCUUUCUGGGUCUGUUCGACCUUUAAAUUUUUACA